This 3787-nucleotide long non-coding RNA is filed under the name Populus tremula. RNAcentral describes it as "long non-coding RNA (PTRE_LNC001471)". The record is from RNAcentral. Lineage: Eukaryota; Viridiplantae; Streptophyta; Magnoliopsida; Malpighiales; Salicaceae.
CAGCAACUUCAUUUCAAAGUUUGCAAAAUAGUCCGAAGGUAAUUAUAAUUAUCUUCUUACUGUGCAGUACACGCGUGAAUCAGUUCACACUCGUGCCUGUUACCUGAGCCUGUUAUUGGUCUGAAUCAGUAAUCGGCCUUAAACCCAUCCGGCCCAAGUUAUUUUUGGCUAAAGGUACACAUUCUUUUAUCUUUUUCAUGCAUUUUUUUUUUUGAUAUUUAGUCAAACAAAUUUCUUUUCUAUUUUAGAAAGUUCUAGAAAAAUUUGAGAAUCUCCGCUGAUUUAUUUAUGAGUCCUCACGCUUUGUUAUAUUUUUUUUUCUUGUUUAUUAUUUAUUUCUAUUGUAUACUCAAUCUACAAAAAACCAUUACUCUUCAUCGCAUGCAAUAUUUUUUUUUAUUUUUAUAUAAAACAAGUAAAUAAAAAAAAUUUAAACAAAAAGAGAAAGGCAUAAAAAAAAUUGUUUCUUCUCCAAUUAAAAAUUCAAAUCUUUAAACAAACUUAUCAGAGUCGGGAAUAUUAUUCUCUUUAAGUUUGUAAAAUAUUUAUCAACAUCAAAGUUCAAAAUAUUUAUAGUAAAAAUAUUCACUAAUAUUAGGGUCGGGAAUAUUAUAUAAAAAAAGCCAAAAUUCUAGUAAUUUUAAAAAAAACUAGUAAUGCAAUCACCUUAGAUAAAACUUUUAAGGAAUGAUAGCAUCUUUAUUUUUAUAUAAUUAAUCAUGUAUUAUAGAAUUUUUAUUGAUCGGUUAGGGUUAUUAAUGAUCAUAAUAAUAGGUAUGAUGACUUUUUAAAUAGAAUAUAUUUUUUUAAAAAAAGAUAUCAAAUAUUUAUUUUUUUUCUUUACAAAAUUUUAACAAUAUUAAUUGGAGAGUAAUUAGUUAAACAAUGCAAAUGCUAAGCAGAAGAGGCACAAACUGGAUGAAGCUGACGACAACAAGAGCCAGAUAAGACAGCAAUGGCAUACCAUUGUUAUAUACAUUCUUCUUUGGGUUUAUUUUAUGCAGAUACCACCAUCGGCCGGCACGUUCCUUUUGUGUACUUGUUGGACUGAAGCUUUCACUUUCCUUGCUACGUUUCUUGCAUUUGGAAGCUCUGACUGGCCUAGAACAGGACAAUAUCGCAAGAAAAAGACGUCAAUUAAAAUAUUAAUAUUAAAGAUAAAUUGCACUAAACUUUCUGAAUUACUGCAAAAUAAUAGAGAGAUAACUCAAGAAAUUUAAAAUUCGACAAAAACCGCUGCUCGUUGGAGAAAAUAUCACACAAUUCCUAUUUAAUUUAUAACCAAAAUCACCUUAAUUAAGGCUAUGAGCAUUUUAGGCACAUAAGAAAAUUUCUCGUCUCUGUAAUUUUAAGACACUAAAAUGAUUAUAUAUUAUUUUCUACGAAACCCUUUCAAAUAUAUUUUAUAAUUUUUAAAUUUACAUGAAGUCAUCAUUACUGUUUAAUUUCAUAAGAUUUUCAAAGUCCUAACCCACUUGAUUAUUAAUGUUUUGAUAUUAUAUCACAAAAUCAUUAAAUUAUUGUUUCAGGUUUCAAAAAUAGUUUAUAUAUUACUCUCCAAGAAUCACUAAGUUAGCAAUUUACCAAAAAAAAAAAAACUUAAUACAAUUCCAUUGCAGUUAAUUUUCUAUAUAUACUACUUAAUUACUUGUAGUUAUUUUUCCAGGACCUUUGCUACGAGGUGUGCUAGCACCAACCCCAUUUGCCUCAUUUCUCUUUUUACCUUUUUCGACAAUUGAUUUGGUCGUAGAAAUCUUCUCCUUUUUCAUAGCAUCAGUUGCAUUUAGUAGCUUUGAAUUCCCUCCAUCAAGAUCAUUGUUACAAAGAUCUCAGUUUAAACUUUUAAUUAGUUAAAGAAAUUUAAUUGCAGUUUUUAUUUUUCAAAAUAGAGAACUUACUGGGAAUUUUGGUUUUAGGACCAUUGUUACAAGAUGGUCUGGUAGCGACACCAUUUGCCUCCUUUCUUGUAUUACCUUGUUGGACAGUCAAUCUAGAAGAAGUCGUCUUCUCCUUUUUUGUUGUAUUUCUUGCUUCAAGUACCUUCGAAUUACCUCCGACUGACCAUUUUUACAAGAUGUCAAAUAAAACUACUUAAAUAUAAUUCAAGGGAAGUUAUCUUUCAAAACAUAGCACAACUUACCGGCAGCUGUUUUUCUUAUAAGAUGAUUGUUCCUAGGUUUGCUGGUCCCAACGCGAUUUGCCUGGUCCCCUUUGCUUCCUUGUUGGAGAUGAGGUGAUUGAAUUGCUGAAGUCUUUUCAUUGCUCGUUCCAUUACUUGCGUCUAGUAGGUUUGAAUUGCCUCCAAUAAGACCAACGGGCACACAAAGUUAAUUUGAAGUGAUCAAAUGAAUAGAAUCGAUCAAAUUCUAGUUUUUUUUUCGAAGCACUUCACUUACUGGGAGUUGUUUGAAGUGUCUUUGUUACAACACCACUGGCCUCACUCCUUUCGCUGUCUUGUUGGACGGUUGAUUGUGUGGAAGAUGUCCUCUCCUCUGUGAUUGCUUCACUUGCAUUUGGAAGCUUUGAAUUCCCUCCAACAUGACUGAUCCUGUCACAAGACCUGGUGUGGUGUCCAGCUUUAUGGCACUUCCCACACUUCAAAGAUCCAUAGAAAGUGAAGUUAAAUUCUGAAAACUAUGCUGGCUAUGAUUUUUAUUUGAGAGUUCGUAUAUGUACAUAUAAUGUUAUAAAAAAUAUCAAAUAGGGAAGCCCGAGCGGGUACACGAGACAUACCAUGACAAGAUGUUUCUGGUUAUAAGCACGAGUUUUGAUCUUCUCUAGUGUCUCGGCAACUUCUUUCAUUGAUGGACGGAAUUUGGGGUUACGAACGAGACAUCUCAGAGCAAGCUUUGCUAUUUCUGAAGCCUGCCCAGUAACAUACUUCCCCUCCAACCUGGAGUCCAUUACGCCUCUCAGCCUGAAUCUAUUAUUUAGAUAUUUCUCGGCCCAUUCCCCUAAGGAAGAUUAACCACUUUUUUUGUUGAUCUUGAACCAGUUAGCAGCUCAACCAAAACAACACCAAAUCCAUAAACAUCGCUCUUUACAUGCAACUUCCCUAACCAAACCAACUCGAUAAAAUCAAUGUCAUGACAAAGCUUAGCAGUUAGCAGAAGUUAAUAAUUAACAAGUUAAGAAGAUCGAGAUGAGUUGGAAACUACAGGAGCUUUGCCCAGAACAAAAUCCAACCAUAUAAAUAUCAUUAAUUAAAUUCUAUGCAUUAAUUGGCAGUUUCAUUGUUAAUGCUUGUUUUGUUCUGUAUUCUCUUCGUAUAAUUGUACUGAUUACUGAAUUUCGCUCGGUGCGUUUGCCCCGUGGUUGCUUUUUUUUUUUUAAUCUAAAACAAAAAAAAAAAUCUUACAAGUAUGCAAGGUACAAGAAAUUACCAGUUUCAGCAUAAAGAGGAUCCGCAUAACCAUAUGUGCCAACAACUCUAUCUUCUAUAUAUUCAUCAUGAUCUCUCAAGGGUGCAGGUGAUGUGAUUGCCAUUCCAAAGUCUGAUAUCUUCGCAGUAUAGGACUAGAGAAACAUCGUGGUUAGGUAGCGUAGAUUUCCAUUUUGGAAAGAUAAUGCAACAGUUUCUUUUCAAUUGCUGAGUCGUGAAUAAUUGUACCAAUAACGUGAUGCUUGCAACAUUAACAGUUCUUCAGAUUGCCAAAAUUGCUAGAAAAGUCAUGAUGCAUCAGGGGAAAUAAAUGACUCAACCAUGAAAACUACGUAAAGGAGGAAAACAAAAGCAAGACAAUAGCAGAAAUAUAGAUGCAGAGAGAUAUGAUAAAUGUACACAGAG